GGUAACUUAGCUCAGUUGGUAGAGCAUUGGUGUGAAGUACCAAGUUAGCGGUGGUUCGAUCCCAUCAGUUGCCA
The sequence is a transfer RNA, 74 nucleotides long. It matches the Rfam family "tRNA". Rfam says of the family: Transfer RNA (tRNA) molecules are approximately 80 nucleotides in length. Their secondary structure includes four short double-helical elements and three loops (D, anti-codon, and T loops). Further hydrogen bonds mediate the characteristic L-shaped molecular structure. tRNAs have two regions of fundamental functional importance: the anti-codon, which is responsible for specific mRNA codon recognition, and the 3' end, to which the tRNAs corresponding amino acid is attached (by aminoacyl-tRNA synthetases). tRNAs cope with the degeneracy of the genetic code in two manners: having more than one tRNA (with a specific anti-codon) for a particular amino acid; and 'wobble' base-pairing, i.e. permitting non-standard base-pairing at the 3rd anti-codon position. The record is from Rfam.